Molecule: long non-coding RNA, 3174 nt
Organism: Strigops habroptila (Kakapo)
Lineage: Eukaryota; Metazoa; Chordata; Aves; Psittaciformes; Psittacidae
Source: Ensembl
GAAAGCAUGAAAGGUUAACCCUUCUCCUCGAGCAAGAGGUACUGUGAGUUGAGGACUUGGGCACUGCUGGGGGGAAAAGGAGCUGAGAGGGAAGACGAAACCAGCAUGAUCUGAAUAUCAGUAUGUCUUUCUGUAGCUCUGCAGACAAAUGAAAGAUGCUUGCUUUGUUUGUUUUUAACAGUAGAUCUCACAUAUUUGAAGCUUGUGGCACAUGUGAAAACCUGUGUCAUUGUGACAGAAGCAACAAAAGUCCAGGCCUCAGUAAGGAAUGGUUUGUGGAAAUAGUGUGUAAAGGGUUGUCAUAGUAAUUAAAUAGUGAGUAGAUUUUCUGGGACAUCCAUAUCGAAGUCUUUCAUACACAGUGUUGUAAUCAAGCAAUACUCUUUGGGAUGCAUCUGGAUAAAAAGCGUUGACUAAGUGUAGAUUCUUUUUUAAAUCAGCUCUUUAAAUUCCUCCCAUUUUUAUCAUUGAUUGUGAACUUGGUUCUGAGGAAGUCAUUUAACACUGUGAUUAGCUGGGGAGUUUGUUCUUUACUGGCCUGUCUCAUUGAGAUGCAGAGAUAGCUGCCUGUGGAUUUGCAUGCUAAAAGUACGUAUCCGGUUUUUUAGAAGGAAAUCAGUAGGCAAAUUGUCCAGGAACAGACUCACUUGUGUUUUUGCUGUACUUUUCAGAUGAACAGAUCCUCUAACGCCUCCCCUGCAGUGUGAUCUCCUGCUUGUCAGGCAGUGAUUGUGCUUGAUUUUUACCAUUCCUGAUACCAAUGACAUCAAGAGUUUUGUCUCAACAAGCAAAGUGCAUUACAAGCACACUUCAAAGCCCAGGGACGUCUGAUGACUACUAAGCUUAAAUCCCAACAUCUCCAAUCUCACUGAAUGGAUUGGAAGUUGAAAGGUCAGCCUUGUGAGGGGUGUGAUUUCACUUCAUUUGGAGACGCAGGAGGAGGAAAAAAAUCUGGUUUAUGUCUCACAUCUGCACAGUAAAACUACUGAGGAUUGGUAUGAAAAGCGAUUGACCACGUAUGUAUUAAUUUCUGCACAGUUUCCACUUUGGUUUAUAUUUGAACUCCUUUGUCUGUCUUACCCAUUGAGGAGUCUAAAUACUAUAUUUCUUUAAAAAAGAAGUUUGGUAACGCUUUGUCCCCUGAUUUAAGCAGUCUGAUUUCCUCAGUGUCACCAAAGUACACUUAAGCAAGCAAAACACACAGUGCCUAUAGUCUAUACAGAAUUACAGAUGAUGCACAUCUGUCUUCAGUGAAUUGGUGCUACACUAAAGAAUUCACAUGCAAUUGAAUACAAAUCAUAUUCAGUCAAAUCCAACACAUUUCACUCAAUAAAGGAGUCGCUAGAUAAAGUAAUGAUGGCCUGUGAUACACAUAAAGUCAAGAUGAGGUUGUCUAGUGGUUCCUUCUGACCUUGAAUUCUGUCAGUCAGUAGGUGGCCCACACCACAAACGCAAGUUCUGGAGAACUUUUGCAUUAUCUGAUGUAGUUAGGUUUGUAUGAUGGCUCCCUGUUAACAGGAGGAGUAAGUGCUGAAAGUCUAGGAGCAAACUAGAAUUGAAGGAAUUAAUGAGUAGUAGGAACAAAGAACUAAGCACAUGCUUCACCUUGACAGUCUGAUCUCUGCACAAAACCAAAGGAUUCUUGAUUAAUACCAUUUGACAUGUCCUUCCAUACUUUUCUAGACCCUUUGGGAAGCCUUCCUUGAAGGGAGGCUUGCUAGAAUGUUUCCAUCUGUGCCUUAGAUCUUGGCAUCAUGUAUGUAUUCGAUUUAUCUUAAGUCAUACAUUUGUCCCCCUAUUACAAUGUUAUGUGGAAAAUCCAGUGAACUGACAAAGUGGGGCUUUCCCUGGGAUUUAAGAGGGUUUAUCUGCAUGGCAUUACUGUGACCCUCUGCCACUGAGGUUGUGGAAAGUUGUGUGUAUGUGUGGAAGAAACGGCAUCUUUCCUGCUGACUUCACCGUCCUCCCGCAUACACAAGCACAUCUGCACACGUGUGCAUAUUGUCAUAGCAGAAGUUUGACAGAAACCCAGUAUAUAUGCAAAUGCUUAAAUUUCUAAAUCUGGAAUGGCUUCACAAGAAAAAUUGCCUUGAAAAAUGGCAUCCCUUUACUUUGUAUCUUCAGGGUUUUUUACAUUCCCUUGAGAGUGUGUGUGUGCACAUGUUGUAGAGGUUUUGUUUGCUUUUAAAGUGCGAAACUCCUGAAGAGCAGUUUGAGAGCAGGAGAGGGAAGCUCACUGCAGAAACCUUCUGUAAGAUCAUGCUUUUGCAGCACAAAAUAUUUGAAAGCUAUUUCACUUUAUGUAUUUCUGAAGUGAAUAAUUCUUGCCUUGAUGUUGCCAACUAGACGAUAGAAAAUAGAAUGGGUUGUUAACUAUUUUGACCUUUUUCUCUCUCUCUUUUUGGGUUCCUUUCCACAUUUAUUGCAUGGAAAAUCACCCCCAAUGGUGAUACAUGGUUUAGGGAUUCAGUCAUACCAGUCUUAGAGGACUAUGGGCAACUGCUGAUGACUUUUAGGAGGUUUUUAUAUUAGGUGAGGCAACAGGAGUUUUCCUGUUACUCCUCAAUUUAUACACUUGAGUUUCAGAGAAGAUCACAUGUUUGGGGGUUUUUAGUUUUAUAGGGCUCCAGUAUUGUUCCCACAACAUCAGUUAAGGCUUCAGGUUUUCUUUUGUUUCAUUCUUGGUCGGAUUUCUGUGUUAGAACAGAAGUGGUAGUACUGAAUUGUAGCUUGGACCGUAAAACUUGAUUCAGUUACAAAGAAACACAACUUAGAUAAUAGAAUGACUGAACUGCUUUUAUAUCUGAACUGCUUCUAUAUCUGAACUUUUCCAUCAUGAGUAAGGUUUUGAAUCAAGAGAGAUCAAUGUUAGGAGCAAGCCUUUAAAUUAACAAUACAAUGAAUAAAUUGCUCUUUUUCUUCUUCUAACCGUGUAUUUAAAUGUGUUUUAAGUGAAUGGAGUUCAUUCUUGUUUAAAAAAACAAAAAAGGGAAAAAAAAAGAGCUUGGAGGUUAUGAGGACUUCAGGUUGUACUCUUGCUUUGCCUAGGUUUCCUGUUCUGUUGCAUGACACAACUUCUGUUGUGCUGUUGAUAUGUAGCACUUUUCAGUAGGUCUGUCAAAUUGUGCAAUGCAUUUUUUUAUAUUUACAACCAAAACAAUAAAGGUUAUUUUU